GGGGAGUGGUACCGAGAACCUCUUGGUUCAUACACGACAGGUCCUCCAUAUAUCAGGCACUGGAACAAGGAUGUCAAGCGGAUGUUCAGAAUCUUCUACAACCUGAGCUAUAGAGUUUACAACAAGUUAGAGAGGACUAUCCCCGGAUUUGAUCAAGUGAUGCUAAAAGUACGAGAAGAAUCAAUUGCAAGAGACGAACGCCGCAAGGCAAAGAGGGAGGAACGAAAAAGGGCUGAAGCUGAAGGCCGCAUCUAGUGUCCCAGUCCG
RNAcentral lists this unclassified non-coding RNA (267 nucleotides) under Hevea brasiliensis (rubber tree). The record is from RNAcentral. Lineage: Eukaryota; Viridiplantae; Streptophyta; Magnoliopsida; Malpighiales; Euphorbiaceae.